RNAcentral lists this long non-coding RNA (960 nucleotides) under Nicotiana tabacum (common tobacco). RNAcentral's name for it is "long non-coding RNA (NTAB_LNC009573)". The record is from RNAcentral. Lineage: Eukaryota; Viridiplantae; Streptophyta; Magnoliopsida; Solanales; Solanaceae.
UUUAGCUUCAUUUAAAGUUUUUGGUUUCAUUUCAUUGCUUUGGCAUUGAAACCAAGAGCAUUGAAACUGAUAAAUUCGUCCUAAGUCUUUAGCCAACAAAUCUGUUCUUGGUUUUGAAACCAACAACAUUAAUCCGAAAACAUUUCGUCCAAAAUUUCAAUCCAAGCCAGUUUCGUUUCAAUUUCAGAGGAUCCAAGUGUAAAAUUUCGUUCAAGGAUUCAGAAGCAGAAGCUUCAUUCCAAUCAAAUAAUUUCAGGUAUAGGUAUGUUAAGGCCCUCCCUUUUUUCUUUUGGCAUGGUCCAAAUUAUACUGAAGAAACAAGCAAACACACAUUUUCCAUAAAUUACUCUAUUCAUAUAAAUAGCAGGGGUAUCUAUAUUUUGAUUCCCCAUGAAAAAUAUUAUUAUCUUCUGUUCAUGGCUCUCAGAAGAAUACGUAAUUGAAAAAAUUUAUCCGGAAGGAAUAUUAAGAUUAUUACUUAUUUUUCAUGCAUUUCACUCAUUUAUACAUAUGCAUUGACCCAUGACUAGAUGGCGUUAUAUACGCGUAUAUAUGUAAAUAUAUGUAUAUAGUAUAUGGAAAAAAGGUUACGAUGUUAUAUACGCACCACCACCUGAUCAGCUAGUAUAUGUUAAUGAUGUUGCCCACAGUGGCCGAAACGAUAUGAUGGGAUGCCCUCAGUGGCUUGAUGAUAUUAUGUACACUCAUACAUAUGCAUGACACGACAUUUAUAUGCAUGUGCAUGGCAUUAUAAACGUUACAGAAUUUACACAGUUAUUCAAAUUUAAAGAUGUGUUUCCUUAUUCCACAUUUCAUCUACGUCUUUUACGUACUAAUUUUCAUGCCUUACAUACUCAGUACAUUUUUCGUACUGAUUCCCUAUUUCACGGGGCCUGCAUUUCAUGCCCGCAGGUGCAGGUAGACAAGCUGACGGUCCCCCUUCUUAGGAUCCCUGAUCAG